This 465-nucleotide ribosomal RNA is filed under the name uncultured Neisseria sp. RNAcentral's name for it is "bacterial SSU rRNA". It matches the Rfam family "Bacterial small subunit ribosomal RNA", at positions 338 to 795 of the family's 1533-position model. The record is from RNAcentral. Lineage: Bacteria; Pseudomonadati; Pseudomonadota; Betaproteobacteria; Neisseriales; Neisseriaceae.
CCUACGGGGGGCAGCAGUGGGGAAUUUUGGACAAUGGGCGCAAGCCUGAUCCAGCCAUGCCGCGUGUCUGAAGAAGGCCUUCGGGUUGUAAAGGACUUUUGUCAGGGAAGAAAAGGACAGGGUUAAUACCCCUGUCUGAUGACGGUACCUGAAGAAUAAGCACCGGCUAACUACGUGCCAGCAGCCGCGGUAAUACGUAGGGUGCGAGCGUUAAUCGGAAUUACUGGGCGUAAAGCGAGCGCAGACGGUUACUUAAGCAGGAUGUGAAAUCCCCGGGCUCAACCUGGGAACUGCGUUCUGAACUGGGUGACUAGAGUGUGUCAGAGGGAGGUAGAAUUCCACGUGUAGCAGUGAAAUGCGUAGAGAUGUGGAGGAAUACCGAUGGCGAAGGCAGCCUCCUGGGAUAACACUGACGUUCAUGCUCGAAAGCGUGGGUAGCAAACAGGAUUAGAUACCCGGGUAGUC